AUAAUAGUGAUAACAUAAGAAAAUUAGAACGGAGAAAAAAAUGGGGUUUGAAAUUAAAGUUUAUUCCAAGAUGAAAAAAGCUGAAAAGAUCUUCCUAAACUGUUGUACAAAACAAAAGCAAAAGCAAAAUAUGAUAGUUUUAUAAUCAUUACAGCCAACAUGCUUGCAACAAUUCCCUGAAGCCUUACUUCUGAACAAAGUCAUGCAUGAGAACUUAUUUCGAUAUGUACUUUUACCUUUAUGUAAAAACCAACCUUACAAUAGUGCAAUUAUAAGCACGCCAGAUUAAGAAAAAAAAAAGGUAUGCUUGUACUUCACUAUUGGAGAACUGUCACCAUGCCAACACUGCUCUGGACACACUGCAGGUUUGAGCAAAUGUUUUGCUUUAAGCAAAGUGCACUAGUUUAGCACGGUUGCCAAAUAUCAUCUUGGCCUUGGUCAAAAGCUAGAUGACAGUGUGGGAUGCUAUCACUGGGGUUCUAAUAGAAGGCUAUGAUUUUUGGAAAGCAUGUUACUGUAGGGCCAUUUUUUAUAAAUUAAAAAAAAUCACAUUCAAAUCAUCCUUAGCAACCUAAUCUCCUUUUUAAAUAUUUUAUUAAACACACACAGACUGUCCUGUACAAGAACAUGGAUGUUAUGGAGAAAGAAAGACAACCAGUCUGUAAAACCAGUGUGAUUGU
Long non-coding RNA from Sinocyclocheilus anshuiensis, 680 nucleotides. RefSeq lists it as uncharacterized. The transcript has 3 exons. NCBI's taxonomy places the organism in Eukaryota, Metazoa, Chordata, Actinopteri, Cypriniformes, Cyprinidae. The record is from RefSeq and is a predicted model, not a curated record.